CCUACGGGAGGCAGCAGUGAGGAAUAUUGGUCAAUGGGCGCAAGCCUGAACCAGCCAAGUCGCGUGAGGGAUGACGGUCCUAUGGAUUGUAAACCUCUUUUGUCGGGGAGCAAGGCCCGCCACGUGUGGCGGGAAGGAGAGUACCCGAAGAAAAAGCAUCGGCUAACUCCGUGCCAGCAGCCGCGGUAAUACGGAGGAUGCGAGCGGUAUCCGGAUUCAUUGGGUUUAAAGGGUGCGUAGGCGGAAGGUUAAGUCAGCGGUCAAAUGUCGGUGCUCAAAACCGGCCUGCCGUUGAAACUGGUCGUCUUUGGUGAGCGAGAAGUAUGCCGAAAGCGGGGUGGAGCCGUGAAAUG
This 353-nucleotide ribosomal RNA is filed under the name uncultured bacterium. RNAcentral's name for it is "partial 16S ribosomal RNA". It matches the Rfam family "Bacterial small subunit ribosomal RNA", at positions 338 to 688 of the family's 1533-position model. The record is from RNAcentral.